Non-coding RNA from Arvicanthis niloticus (Nile rat), 77 nucleotides. NCBI's taxonomy places the organism in Eukaryota, Metazoa, Chordata, Mammalia, Rodentia, Muridae. The record is from RefSeq and is a predicted model, not a curated record.
AAAGUUAAGGAAUAAAUUUAUAUAUCAGCAAAUACUCAAAUAAUAAGAUGGCCACACAGAUUAGACAAAUUAAUCCC